This 87-nucleotide transfer RNA is filed under the name Minisyncoccota bacterium. Its description in RNAcentral is "tRNA-Ser". It matches the Rfam family "tRNA". From Rfam's summary of the family: Transfer RNA (tRNA) molecules are approximately 80 nucleotides in length. Their secondary structure includes four short double-helical elements and three loops (D, anti-codon, and T loops). Further hydrogen bonds mediate the characteristic L-shaped molecular structure. tRNAs have two regions of fundamental functional importance: the anti-codon, which is responsible for specific mRNA codon recognition, and the 3' end, to which the tRNAs corresponding amino acid is attached (by aminoacyl-tRNA synthetases). tRNAs cope with the degeneracy of the genetic code in two manners: having more than one tRNA (with a specific anti-codon) for a particular amino acid; and 'wobble' base-pairing, i.e. permitting non-standard base-pairing at the 3rd anti-codon position. The record is from RNAcentral. Lineage: Bacteria; Bacillati; Minisyncoccota.
AGAGACGUCGCAUAGCGGUUUAGUGCACUACCUUGGAAAGGUAGCAGGGUGUCAAAGCCCUCAGGAGUUCGAAUCUCCUCGUCUCUG